RNAcentral lists this transfer RNA (63 nucleotides) under Geukensia demissa (ribbed mussel). RNAcentral describes it as "tRNA-Phe". It matches the Rfam family "tRNA". Rfam says of the family: Transfer RNA (tRNA) molecules are approximately 80 nucleotides in length. Their secondary structure includes four short double-helical elements and three loops (D, anti-codon, and T loops). Further hydrogen bonds mediate the characteristic L-shaped molecular structure. tRNAs have two regions of fundamental functional importance: the anti-codon, which is responsible for specific mRNA codon recognition, and the 3' end, to which the tRNAs corresponding amino acid is attached (by aminoacyl-tRNA synthetases). tRNAs cope with the degeneracy of the genetic code in two manners: having more than one tRNA (with a specific anti-codon) for a particular amino acid; and 'wobble' base-pairing, i.e. permitting non-standard base-pairing at the 3rd anti-codon position. The record is from RNAcentral. Lineage: Eukaryota; Metazoa; Mollusca; Bivalvia; Mytilida; Mytilidae.
GGUAAUGUAGCUUAUAGAAAGCAUUUUGUUGAAAACGAAAAGGAUGGUUUUUACUCAUUGCCU